This 46-nucleotide non-coding RNA is filed under the name Trichobilharzia regenti. Lineage: Eukaryota; Metazoa; Platyhelminthes; Trematoda; Strigeidida; Schistosomatidae. The record is from RNAcentral.
GUGCUACUGAGGUGUCCCAAACUAGGACGAAACAUAUGUCUGGUAC